Molecule: ribosomal RNA, 227 nt
Filed under: uncultured bacterium
Lineage: Bacteria
Description: partial 16S ribosomal RNA
Rfam family: Bacterial small subunit ribosomal RNA
Source: RNAcentral
GAUCAUGGGCUCAGGAUGAACGCUAGCUACAGGCUUAACACAUGCAAGUCGGAGGGGCAGCAUGGUCUUAGCUUGCUAAGGCCGAUGGCGACCGGCGCACGGGUGAGUAACACGUAUCCAACCUGCCGUCUACUCUUGGACAGCCUUCUGAAAAGGAAGAUUAAUACAAGAUGGCAUCAUGAGUCCGCAUGUUCACAUGAUUAAAGGUAUUCCGGUAGACGAUGGGG